Molecule: non-coding RNA, 206 nt
Organism: Oryza nivara
Lineage: Eukaryota; Viridiplantae; Streptophyta; Magnoliopsida; Poales; Poaceae
Source: Rfam
AAAAAAACAAACCAUGAGUUUUCGUGUACAACUUUGACGGUCUGUCUUAUAUGAAAUUUUUUUAUAAUUCAUAUUUUCAUUAUUGUUAGAUGAUAAAACAUAAUUAAUAUUUUAUGCGUGACUUAUCUUUUUAAUUUUUUUUUCAUAUUUUUUAAAUAAGUCGGACGGUCAAACGUUGGACACAGAAACCAGGGUGUGUCUUUUUU